RNA transcript from Salvia hispanica, 2391 nucleotides. It is a transcript of the gene named transcription factor GTE2-like, with no coding region annotated. The record is from RefSeq and is a predicted model, not a curated record. Lineage: Eukaryota; Viridiplantae; Streptophyta; Magnoliopsida; Lamiales; Lamiaceae.
ACCCUAAUAUCUCCUCAACUUUGUGAAAUUAGAGUCGAGUAUAGCAUCAUUUUUUGUUUUCACCCAAAUUCUAGCCCAUUUCUCAAUUUAAUUGAGCUCCGAGCUGGCGAGGGGAUUCAGCGGAAGGUUCCGGCUAUUCAAUACAUGAUUUUUGGGGGGAAUCGCUGCCGGAGGCUCAACAGAGCUGAGCGCUGCCGACGGUGUGAUUCAUGGCGUCCGCUGUUUUAGGGAGCCAGAAUGAGUCGAGCUGGGCCCACAUGGGAAAGACGCAAUACGCGAAUCCCCACCUAAAUCCAAACCCUCACCCUAACCCUAAGAAGAAGCAGAAGCAAUUCCACCCAUCUCCAGCGAAUGGUGCCGCCGGUCGCUACCGCAGCAUCAGCAACAACGUCGCUUCGCCGGCCGUCGCGCAGACGGCGUCAGAUGAUGCAUAUUCUUUCAACCAGACGCCUGCGGCUGGGAACGCGGGGAAUUACGGUGGCUAUUUGACCUUCAAUGUCACGACGUACACGAAAUCAGAGCUUCUGGAGCUCCGGAAACGCCUCUCUGCCGAACUCGGUCAAAUCCGUGAUUUGCGUGAUCGGAUUGAUUUUGGUCGGUUCAACAUUGGUGAAACCCCUAGAUGUCAGCCGAAAUCAAAGAAAUGUAGUGGCAGUAAACGUCCCGGCCCUGCGAUUGGAUCCAUUCCUAAGAGAUUGAACGAUGGAUAUGAAAAUGGCAGCUUGGAGACGGUGAAUUUUGGGGAUUUGCUGAAAGAAUGCGAAAAGAUUGUGACUAAAUUGAUCAAAGGCAAAUUCGGCUAUGUUUUCAAAGAUCCGGUGGAUGCAGUGGCUUUUGGGCUUGUCGAUUAUCAUCUGAUUGUGAAGCAUCCAAUGGAUCUCGGCACCGUGAAAGCGAAUCUGGCGAAGAAUUUCUAUCGGACGCCGGUAGAAUUCGCAGCUGAUGUCAGGCUGACUUUUAACAAUGCGUUGCUCUACAAUCCUAAGACGGAUCCCGUUCAUGGCAUGACGGAGGAAAUUCUGGCACGGUUCGAGGAGAUGUUCAGGCCGGUACAGGAGAAGUUCAACAGCGUGCUCGAUAAGCUGCCCAAGAAUGAGCCCCACGAUUUCAAAAAGCUGCCCAAGAAUGAGCCUCAUGAGUUCAAAAUCAACAAUGAUUUGCCGUUCCGGGAGGUUGAGGAGUUGCAGGGCAGCUCUUGGAACAGUAAUGGUUGUCAGGCUCUGGCUGCAAAGAAGUCGAAGAAGAAAGGCGGAUAUGUUCCUGUUUCCCAUGUUAUGAAGAAGUCUGAUAGAAUGCAAGACCAUUCAACUGCUUCAACACCGCCGAUGAAUCUUCAACCAUUAGCACCGGAGCCAUUACCUCCCUCGCCAGUGAGGGCUCCUCCUCUACCCGCGGUGAAGGAGCAGAAACCUGGAAGAGUAGUGACACCGAAACAGCCAAAGCCAAGAGCUAAGGAUGUUAAUAAGAGAGAGAUGAGUAUGGACGAGAAGCAGAAACUUGGAUUUGGGUUGCAGAAUUUACCCCAAGAGAAGAUGCCUCAACUUGUACAGAUAAUCAGGAAGAGGGAUGAGCAUUUGGCACAGGAUGGCGAUGAAAUUGAGCUUGAUAUUGAGGCUCUUGAUACUGAUACGCUGUGGGAACUUGAUCGAUUUGUGACCAAUUGGAAGAAGAUGGUUAGCAAGACAAAGCGGCAAGCGUUGAUGAUGAGCAACAAUCCAGCUGUUGGAGUUUCUAUUCCCUCCAGUCCUGUUACUGAUGCUGCUGAUGUGGGCGCAUUGAGUGACAAGAAUGAUGAUUGUGGCAAGAUGAUGAAAGAAAAUGAUGAAGAAGAUGUAGAUAUUGAUGACGAUAUGCCAGCAGCGAGCUUCCCUGCUGUGGAGAUUGAGAUUGAGAGAGAAGUUGUUGUUGGGCAGGAGAAUGAUGAUGGUGUUGUUGGACAGGAGAAUGAUGGUAUUGUUGGGCAGGAGAAUGCUGGUAGAGGCAAUGCUAGCAGUUGCUCAAGCAGUUCUGGCAGCUCAAGUAGUGAUUCGUCAUCCUCGAGUGAUUCUGAUUCAGGGAGUUCCUCUGGUAGUGAGUCCGACGCAGAUGAUGCACAGUCUUGACUUGAUAGCGUUUUGCGCAAAUCUGAAAAGAAUUCAGUGCUAUUUUGGUCGGGCAUUUUUGGCUACUCUCACAAAUUAGCAUAUUUGUUCAUGAGAAUGGCAAAUGAGGUUGUUGCUGUUGAUGCCGAGGUUGAAGACAAGAGAUUAAUGUGUUGGAUUACACUCUUCCAUGGGAAGUAUAAGCUUAAGCUUAGUGGAGUAAUUGUUAAAAGAUUGUAGUCAGUUUGGAGUAAUUUGUUACAGCUUAAAAGUUUGAUUAAUGUGUUGGAUUACACUCUUCCAUGGGAAA